RNAcentral lists this long non-coding RNA (1958 nucleotides) under Nicotiana tabacum (common tobacco). Its description in RNAcentral is "long non-coding RNA (NTAB_LNC003614)". Lineage: Eukaryota; Viridiplantae; Streptophyta; Magnoliopsida; Solanales; Solanaceae. The record is from RNAcentral.
AUGCCUAAUGCGGAAGAGGAAAAGUACACAAAAAAACGCCUAAAGAGCUAAAGAGAGGACCAUCAGCCGCAAUAACACAUAGAAAUUCAUCGGCUGGCCUCUUACCAUUGCUCCCCGUUUCUCAUCUCCUUCUUCCUCGAAAAACCCAAAACUAAAUAAAAAACCUAGUAGAAGUUUUCCAAUAAAAAACGUGAAAAAGGGGCCUUUCAUUUAUUGUCCAAUUUUUUCGAUUUAGCUCCUUCAGACAUGAAUUCCAUGUGGAUUCUGAGAUCUUGUAGCCUGAUUCGGCUGGCAUUUUAAUUUUCCGGCGAGGUUGUCCGUCGAGGUCGUCGUAUGUGGUCCACGAGAUCCAAAUAAUUUGUUGCUGAUUCAAAGCUGUUGAGCUCCAUUUUCAAGUCUUCUGAAGCUCUAUUUGGACGAAUUCUUGUUGGUUUCGCCACUGUCCAGCUUCUUCGGCUAAUUUUGAGUUGUGUUUUGUUGCUAGGUAUGCCUCGCUCAUUUGUUAUUAGAUGUUGGACUUAUAAAUGUCAAUGUUGAAUUGUUCAUGUUAUGGCCAUGUUUAAUCUCAUGAGUUUAAUUAUGUUCAAUCAGCAAAAAUUGUCUUUUGUUUUUCUGUUUGCCUAUAAUUGAUCUUGCUGAUAACUGUUAUGUUUGAGCUAAAAUUUAGGUUGAAACUGUUUGUUCAUUUGAAGAUUUUAUAUGCUGGUCUACAGCUUAAUUAGCUGCUAAUUCGCCGUUAAUUGGCGUAUUAAAUUGAAGUGUUGCCAUCUGAUAUGGAUUCCUGUUAAAUGAUAUACUAAUUCUAAAUUGAACUUACGGUUUAAACUUCCUAUGUGUUGAGAUAAUCAAUUUUCAUGUUAUAUGCUGUAUAAGUUUACUUGCAUAUUCCAAGUCUUACCUAGUGUGGGCCGUUAGAUGAAUCUUCUGCUUUUGGGCCUAGUAUAUAGGUUUUGAAGAAUUGAAUAAAGUUGGCUCAUUUUCUUGUAUCCGAAUCCUUCUAGCUUAAUUUUACACUCUAUCCACAAUAAAUUUCCAUAAUUCCCAUGUCAUUGCAUCAAUUUCAAACUUAGGAAUUGAACAAAUGAAAACUAACGAGUUUCGCAGUUUGUUUCAGGCGCGUUGAUUAUAUAAUUAUCACGGUUAUUAUUAAAAUUCGGGGUACAUUUCAUAUGUCCCGAUUUUAAUUUUCUAACAAGGUUAAAUAGAACGUAUCGUGAAUCACGGGUACAUUUCAUGUAGCGUGACUUGUGAUGUGUUUUAAAUAACCUUGAAAUAAUUCCUUAAACAAAUAAAAGCGGUUUUAAAGUUAAAAAUGCACAUAGGUUUAAAAGUGUUUUAAAAUUAGAUAAUAGGCCAAAUAUAACAGUUGAGCGACCGUGCUAGAACCACGGAACUCGGGAAUGCCUAACACCUUCUCCCGGGUUAACAGAAUUCCUUACCUGAAUUUUUGUGUUCGCAGACUGUAAUACAGAGUCAAUCUUUUCCUCGAUUCAGGAUUUGAACCGGUGACUUGGGACACCAUAAAAUUAUCCCAAGUGACGACUCUGAAUUUUUAAUAAAAUUAUCCCGUUUUGAUUGUCACUUUAAGUUGGAAAAAACUCACAUGUCCUACCUUUUCGGGUGUAGGAAAAAGGAGGUGUGACAGCUCUGGCGGCUCCGCUGGGGACCCAAACCUAGAACUUCGGUUCAGAGUUUAAGAAUUCGAGCUUAGAAUAGCUGUUAUGAUUGACUUUAUUUAUUAUCUGAUUUUUGUACAUGUUUGAUCCUAAUAUGCUAAAUGUUGCUUUUACCGUUUUGAUAUUAUCUAAACUGUAUAUAAACUGCUAUGAAACCUCUCUCUUCUCUCUUCUGGGGAGUGCACGCUGGCGUGACUCCUCUUCUAUUAGUGUCAUAUACCAAAUUAGAACGAGGUUCGGACAAGUUGCAAAGCCGGAUGAUCUUUUAGUUACCGGUACGCU